UGCAGUCUGCAACUCGAGUGCAUGAAGCUGGAAUCGCUAGUAAUCGCGAAUCAGAAUGUCGCGGUGAAUACGUUCCCGGGUCUUGUACACACCGCCCGUCACACCAUGAGAGUUGGGAAUACCCGAAGCCUGUGAGCUAACUUUUAGAGGCAGCAGUCGAAGGUAGAAUCAAUGAUUGGGGUGAAGUCGUAACAAGGUAUC
RNAcentral lists this ribosomal RNA (201 nucleotides) under uncultured bacterium. RNAcentral describes it as "partial 16S ribosomal RNA". It matches the Rfam family "Bacterial small subunit ribosomal RNA", at positions 1299 to 1500 of the family's 1533-position model. The record is from RNAcentral.